This 229-nucleotide long non-coding RNA is filed under the name Caenorhabditis elegans. RNAcentral's name for it is "long non-coding RNA linc-140". The record is from RNAcentral. Lineage: Eukaryota; Metazoa; Nematoda; Chromadorea; Rhabditida; Rhabditidae.
GCCAACGUUUAAACAACACAUUGGAUGACUGCUAUUGUUGCAUGUUAGAUUUACCGCGUAGCAUGUGCUCGAUGAUUACAAAAGAGGGAAACAUAACUUCGGCAGUCGAAAGUCGGUGAACAUAUUGGAAGGGUCAAAAAAGAAAGAUGGGUCAUAUGCUUUAUGUAUUAAAUUUAAUUGUUUUCUAGUUUUUCUUCUAAAAAAAGUUUCUCAAUAAAAUUUUAUUCGA